RNAcentral lists this microRNA (21 nucleotides) under Arabidopsis thaliana (thale cress). Its description in RNAcentral is "ath-miR865-5p". Its record names the gene ath-miR865-5p. Lineage: Eukaryota; Viridiplantae; Streptophyta; Magnoliopsida; Brassicales; Brassicaceae. The record is from miRBase by way of RNAcentral.
AUGAAUUUGGAUCUAAUUGAG